AGUUUAAUUUAGUCAUCAUAAUUUAUGCUUUUAAAAAAUACAGGCCUCUUUCUCUCUCUCUCUCUCUCUCUCUCUCUCUCUCUCUCUCUCUCUCUCUCUCUCUCUCUCUCUCUCUUUCUCUCUCUCUCCUUUUGUUCCCUUCCCCAGGAAGGGGAAGCGGGCCACUGUGCCACUGCAGCUCUUUAAUAAAGAUCUUUCCCACCAGCUCUGUUGGUGUGCACCGCGAUCCGCGCAGGCGCUGGUUUCUCUCAUUAGUGCCAUGACUCAGACCAGGUGCUACCUGGCUCCCGGCGUUAAUGCUGUGGGCUUGGGGACCCCGAGCCUUGGCGCCACCAUCCCCCUCUCCGCAACUCAUGUCCGUUUACCCAGACUCCUUUACGUACCCACCACCAGCCUCAUGGAUAGUGUCAACGUCCAUGCAGAGAUUGAAGAGUUGAGUCACAGGCUAAAGAGGACCUUAUGUAAGAAACAAAUCAAG
Molecule: long non-coding RNA, 478 nt
Filed under: Fukomys damarensis (Damara mole-rat)
Lineage: Eukaryota; Metazoa; Chordata; Mammalia; Rodentia; Bathyergidae
Description: lncRNA (ENSFDAG00000028617.1)
Source: RNAcentral